UACGUAGGUGGCGAGCGUUGUCCGGAAUUACUGGGUGUAAAGGGAGUGUAGGCGGGACUUUAAGUCAGGUGUGAAAUCUAUGGGCUCAACCCAUAGCGUGCACUUGAAACUGGAGUUCUUGAGUGAAGUAGAGGCAAGCGGAAUUCCUAGUGUAGCGGUAAAAUGCGUAGAUAUUAGGAGGAACACCAGUGGCGAAGGCGGCUUGCUGGGCUUUUACUGACGCUGAUGCUCGAAAGCGUGGGGAGCAAAC
This 250-nucleotide ribosomal RNA is filed under the name uncultured bacterium. RNAcentral's name for it is "partial 16S ribosomal RNA". It matches the Rfam family "Bacterial small subunit ribosomal RNA", at positions 524 to 773 of the family's 1533-position model. The record is from RNAcentral.